GUCAAAGAAGGACUGAGGGGAACGAAUCUUGUUGUGCAGCAGAGCUUCGUGCAGCAGGCGGGCAGCCUGGAUCGCGCCGACCACCAUGGUGAAAGCUGACAGCAUGACCAGGAGCCCUGAUUGGGAGAGACAGAGAGCGAGUCACUCACCCCAGGGGAGGAAGCUGGGACAGACGGGAAGAAGGAGACAGGGGAUGGCCCGGUGGAGUUAUGGAGGUUCUGAGACAGGGGUAUGGUUUUGUGGCUUGGGGAGUGGGCAGAGGAGAGGAAGGGAGGCGCACCCCAAUGUGUUCACCUUGCAGUAUCCCUAGGGCGGCGUAGACACCGAGCCUUACGGAGGUCUUGUUCUGCUGGCCAUGUUCCUCCGCAUCAUUGCUCCAGGCGCUGAGCCACACAUUGGCUCCGAUAGCAGCUGCGCUUUGGCCACCAUACAGGAGGCAGAUAGAUAGCGUGGUACAGAGUCCCAUAGACUUGGCAUAAUCCCAGUACACACUCAGCUUCACCUGUAAGGAGUGGCCACACCAUCUUCAUGAUCCCGGGGAACCUAAUCAUCUACCCCAGGCCAUGUCCACCCUGCUUACAUUGCCUGUCUCUGCUAUCUCCUCUUUGAUUAAUGCGCCAGUCUCCUUAGUCUUUGUCACCAGCGCCUCCUUCUCCAAUGAAUUUGUGUGUUUCUUGGGCAUAGUCCGGUUCUGGACCUCCCCUUCAGAAGACAAGGAGCUCAUCUCUCUGUGGAGGCAAACGGUCAGACCUAGGCAGGAGAUUACGGACGCCCUCCCAGGACAUGUGUAACAGGGAGAGAAUGUCCACUUGUGGCCUCCGUGCCGGUGCAUGGGGGCCCUGAUGUCACCUGCUGGGGACUUGAGAACUCUUGGGAAUCUACCUCAUGAACUGCUUGCGGACCUCGUAGAUGGCUGGCUCAUUGUCUGUCAGGUCUGUGUGGGUGCUGAGUGUGUCUUCGAGCAGGAGUACCUCCUCAUUUGCAUUUUGCAAGGCUGCUGCAGGAAAGGAAAAGCCCAGAGGUUAUCUGCUCCUUUGAGCAGCCCUUGAGAGCCUGUUCUCCGUGCUGGUGGGAGAUCUGGAUGGACGAGCAGGGAGCAGGAGAGGGUUUGAAAGACUAGCUAGAAGGAAAUGGGUCUAGGCAAUGCAAACAAAACAAAACAAAACAAAACAAAACAACAAUAAGUAAAAACAAAAACACAAGCAAAAAAAAACCCUUUCCUUUGCCGACCGUAGAGAAGGGGGCUCAAUAGCCUGAAAACUUAGGCUCUGAAGUGAGUCUAGGUGACUUUAAAUUCUACUCUCUUGAUGGCAGCAGGACCUCAGGCAGGCAUAGUCAAAGAGUAAUAAUCAUUGAUAGAUAGCUCAUGGGCACCACCAGUCACAGGAUUAAGGAAAGGAUGUGUGUCCUUGGUUUAUCGAAGGGCACGGCACUUGGGGACUGCUCAUGCAGGUUGGCUGUAUAUACAGCAUUAGUCAGGAACCAAGAGAAGGCCUGAGAGCUGGCUCAGAGGGUGGAGGUAGGGCGUUUUGCCUAGGCAAUCCAAAGGGGAGCAAUGCCUUUAGGGAGCUCAGACACUGCCUUGGGGCUUCGUGAUGAGAGAGGCUUUUUGUUAGUCCACUAGCUAAAAUAGUUCCAGGUCAUAGUAAUUAUUUAACAACUCUUGUUGAUAAAUAAGUGAUUUUGCCAAGUAUUUAUACACUUACAACAUAAUUCAACCAUAAGACAGACAGCUUCAGUAUAUAUUCUGGGUGUGAGCUUGUGUGUCCUUUUUUUUUUUUUUUAAUUUGUUUGUUUUUUGUUUUUUUGUUUUUUUUGUUUUUCGAGACAGGGUUUCUCUGUAUAGCCCUGGCUGUCCUGGAACUCGGUUUGUAGACCAGGCUGGCCUUGAACUCAGAAUCCACCUGUCUCUGCCUCCCAAGUGCUCAAAUUAAAGGCAUGUACCACC
RNAcentral lists this long non-coding RNA (1948 nucleotides) under Mus musculus (house mouse). Its description in RNAcentral is "long non-coding RNA chr11:94358946-94360894". The record is from RNAcentral. Lineage: Eukaryota; Metazoa; Chordata; Mammalia; Rodentia; Muridae.